RNAcentral lists this ribosomal RNA (502 nucleotides) under uncultured bacterium. RNAcentral describes it as "bacterial SSU rRNA". It matches the Rfam family "Bacterial small subunit ribosomal RNA", at positions 442 to 960 of the family's 1533-position model. The record is from RNAcentral.
GGGAAGAAGAAAGUGACGGUACCGCGCGAAUAAGCCCCGGCUAACUACGUGCCAGCAGCCGCGGUAAUACGUAGGGGGCGAGCGUUGUCCGGAAUUACUGGGCGUAAAGGGCAUGCAGGCUGUGCCGUAAGUUGGCUGUUAAAGGAUGCGGCUUAACCGUGUUUAGCAGUCGAAACUGCGGUGCUUGAGUACCGAAGAGGCAAGUGGAAUUCCCAGUGUAGCGGUGAAAUGCGUAGAUAUUGGGAAGAACACCGGUGGCGAAGGCGACUUGCUGGUCGGUAACUGACGCUCAUGUGCGAAAGCCAGGGGAGCAAACGGGAUUAGAUACCCCGGUAGUCCUGGCGGUAAACGAUGAAUGCUGGGUGUGCGAGUAGAGAUACUGGUGUGCCGUAGUUAACGCGAUAAGCAUUCCGCCUGGGGAGUACGGUCGCAAGAUUGAAACUCAAAGGAAUUGACGGGGGCCCGCACAAGCGGUGGAGCACGUGGUUUAAUUCGAUGCAAA